UACGGAGGGGGCUAGCGUUGUUCGGAAUUACUGGGCGUAAAGCGCACGUAGGCGGAUCAGAAAGUCAGGGGUGAAAUCCCGGGGCUCAACCCCGGAACUGCCUUUGAAACUCCUGAUCUUGAGGUCGAGAGAGGUGGGUGGAAUUCCGAGUGUAGAGGUGAAAUUCGUAGAUAUUCGGAGGAACACCAGUGGCGAAGGCGGCCCACUGGCUCGAUACUGACGCUGAGGUGCGAAAGCGUGGGGAGCAAACAGG
This 253-nucleotide ribosomal RNA is filed under the name uncultured bacterium. Its description in RNAcentral is "partial 16S ribosomal RNA". It matches the Rfam family "Bacterial small subunit ribosomal RNA", at positions 524 to 776 of the family's 1533-position model. The record is from RNAcentral.